This 315-nucleotide long non-coding RNA is filed under the name Sorghum bicolor (sorghum). RNAcentral describes it as "long non-coding RNA (SBIC_LNC011485)". Lineage: Eukaryota; Viridiplantae; Streptophyta; Magnoliopsida; Poales; Poaceae. The record is from RNAcentral.
GUUGGGUGAAACUGUGACCGAACAAGUGACUGAACUUUCUCAGUGUGAUGAAGACAUUGUUGAGUUGGAUUCAGACCUUUCUUUCCCAAAGUUGGUGGCUGAUGAUGUGAAAGAAAAAGUAGAGACAUCUGAUUCUAGUGCCUUGGAGGCUCCUGCAAGUGUCCCAGAUGAAAGCCCUAAGAUGGAAAUAAAACAUGAUCCUGAAUCAGAGUUGAUCGAAACUACUAAUGUAGAUGCUGAGCAAGUAACUGACCAAAAGGCUGACAAUGACGUGGAUGAGUUUUUUAUGUCCUUGGAUCAACAAUAUACCCAAGC